GCAGGAACUUUCUUUUUUUUUUUUUUUUUUUUUUUGAGAGGGCGUGAGGAGACACAAUCUCUGCUAGUGAUCCUCCUGCCAAGACCUCCAAAACUGCAGGGAUUGUAGGUGUGAGCACUGCACCCAGCCGUAUGUUUUUUUUCUACAUAAAAAACAGCACAGGAUUAUCUUCCAGAGCUAAUAAAUAUGUUCAAAUAACCACAACCCCAUUAAGGAAAAAUAUCACUGGGCAGCAAAUAAUCAAUCCAGACCAAUAUGAUCACAGUUGCUGUGAAGGUGAGAAAAGUUCAUUUUUAUUAUGUUUCCACAAGAGACGCACUCUAUU
RNAcentral lists this long non-coding RNA (325 nucleotides) under Homo sapiens (human). RNAcentral's name for it is "HSALNT0124608". The record is from RNAcentral. Lineage: Eukaryota; Metazoa; Chordata; Mammalia; Primates; Hominidae.